AUUCAGCCCACACUUAAAGUGGGGGGCAUUAGGCUCCAUCUUUUGUAGGAAGGUGUAUCCAAGAAUUUGUGAACAUCUUUUUAAACCAGCACAUUAGCUGUCAUUAGAAUUUGAAGAAAUGUUGCUCCAGUAUUUCGCUACUCUUCUGUCUUGGGUCAAAAUCCAUGGAAGCAGAGCCUGAGACGUGGAUUCUUGUAGAAUUGGCUGAUUCUAAGCCUGGGGCAGAAAAUACCCGUAAUGAGGAGCCUGGAGGAUCUUUUACUAUCAAAAGUCCCAUGUCAGUAGAGCUGAACCUUGGAUGGCCUAGCAACAUCUCUUCGGAGGUCUGCUUGGCAGAGAGAAGGAAGGAGCUUGUGUUGGAAAACAGCAUUCUGCAGCUCUCAGCCCACAGCUGUCCAUCCCCUCUGACCCCUGUCAGUUCUACAAUGGGGAGAACAAGAUAAGGAAUACUCCCCUUCUCAUCAAAAAGACAAGAAUUUUAUAUAUAGCAGGCACCACACAGUGCCUCCUUGGCCAACAUCCAGGCUGCCUAGAGGAAUUUGUCUACAACAAAACAAAUAAAAGCUGUCCUGUGACUCAAACAGCGGGUGGUCUAAGUCCACUACACAGCAGCUUCUCUAU
RNAcentral lists this long non-coding RNA (621 nucleotides) under Equus caballus (horse). RNAcentral describes it as "lncRNA (ENSECAG00000047742.1)". Lineage: Eukaryota; Metazoa; Chordata; Mammalia; Perissodactyla; Equidae. The record is from RNAcentral.